Erinaceus europaeus (western European hedgehog) is the source of this 134-nucleotide small nucleolar RNA. Its record names the gene SNORA70. It matches the Rfam family "Small nucleolar RNA SNORA70". From Rfam's summary of the family: snoRNA U70 seems to be exclusive to mammals and is a member of the H/ACA class of snoRNA which contain H (ANANNA) and ACA box motifs. H/ACA box snoRNAs are involved in the conversion of uridines to pseudouridines (5-ribosyluracil) a constituent of structural RNAs (transfer, ribosomal, small nuclear, and small nucleolar). The record is from Ensembl. NCBI's taxonomy places the organism in Eukaryota, Metazoa, Chordata, Mammalia, Eulipotyphla, Erinaceidae.
CUGCCACCAAUUAAGCCAACUAUGCUUCCCUCCGCAUGGAGUCUGGGAUGCAAAGACUGCAAACAGUGGCCUCCAGGGUAAUAUCUGCAGCCUGUUGCCUGUACACGUUGCUCUAAGGGACCUUGGAGAUAGCC